AGCCACCCGGCACCUGCAUCUGCCAACAAGACUGGAAGCAGAAAGCGACAGGGGCGGCAAAGUUUGACGGUCUGGAAAGCGGAGACCGACCGGGUUGGCUGCCUGGGAGCACCGAGCCCCGGACAG
This is a long non-coding RNA of Galeopterus variegatus (Sunda flying lemur), 126 nucleotides long. RefSeq lists it as uncharacterized. The transcript is spliced from 3 exons. The record is from RefSeq and is a predicted model, not a curated record. NCBI's taxonomy places the organism in Eukaryota, Metazoa, Chordata, Mammalia, Dermoptera, Cynocephalidae.